CACCCUGUAGAAAGGCUGUGACCAGGUCUGGAAAGAGAGGGUUGGGAGAGAAACUUACGGCAGGCUGGAGGGUGGAGGGCCAGGAAGGCCUGGCCCUGGGAUAAAGAAUCUGCCAGCUACAUACCCAGGGCUGACGAGGCCCUCCCCUCUGAACAUGUUCACGCGGUGAUGUGGAAAGAAUCUGAUGUGUGGCUGACAGAUAAACACCCUCUCCUGCUCAGAGGCUCUGGGGUGAGGUUGGGGUGUGGCUCCUGGCUCUGCCACUUCCCAGCUGGCACCUUAGGGCAAGAGGACUCACCUCUCUGAGCUGCAGUUUCUCUGCUACAAAACGAGGAUAAUGGUUAAACCUAUUUCAGUGUCCAUGAAGAUGAGACACUAUGAAAAAUGCCUUGCAAAGUACUGGUGGAACAAACACUUUUAAAGUGUGCGUUUCCCUCUUCAAGCCCCAAAGCCAGAAAACUAAGGAAUAGGACAGAACCUUCCUUCCAGCCUGAAGGCACGUGCUCUCAGGCCUGGGAGCUGCGUUAGCUCCUGUGACUGACUCCAUGUCAGCGUUCCAUCCCUGCAGGAACCCCAUGAGUCUCUUUUUAAGAGUCCUGCUCCUUGCCAAACCUCAGACCCAGCCUUCCACCCUUCUCGCGGGGCCUUGGGUCCCCAGUCUGCCUGGCUUCUGUGUUGGUCUCCAGCCUGGCCUCUGUGCAGGCUGUGGGCACCAGUGCCAGGCCCGGAGUUCUCCCCGGGCACCUUACUUUGUGGAUAGGUCAA
RNAcentral lists this long non-coding RNA (765 nucleotides) under Homo sapiens (human). RNAcentral describes it as "non-protein coding lnc-STPG4-5:2". Lineage: Eukaryota; Metazoa; Chordata; Mammalia; Primates; Hominidae. The record is from RNAcentral.